This 253-nucleotide ribosomal RNA is filed under the name uncultured bacterium. RNAcentral describes it as "partial 16S ribosomal RNA". It matches the Rfam family "Bacterial small subunit ribosomal RNA", at positions 524 to 776 of the family's 1533-position model. The record is from RNAcentral.
GACAUAGGUGGCGAACGUUAUCCGGAUUUAUUGGGCGUAAAGGGUGCGUAGGUGGUAAGGUAAGUCGGAUGUGAAAUCUCCGAGCUCAACUCGGAAAUGGCAUUGGAAACUACCUUGCUCGAGGGUUGGAGGGGGGACUGGAAUGCUUGGUGUAGCAGUGAAAUGCGUAGAUAUCAAGCGGAACACCAGUGGCGAAGGCGAGUCCCUGGACAACUCCUGACACUGAGGCACGAAAGCUAGGGGAGCAAACGGG